GGAUAAUGGCUGUGGUGUUUACAACGAAUUGAUCACAACAAGUUACAGAUUUUGUUGUUCCUUUACUCCCACUGCUUCACUUGACUAGCCUUAA
RNAcentral lists this small RNA (94 nucleotides) under Microcebus murinus (gray mouse lemur). RNAcentral describes it as "Y RNA (ENSMICG00000024371.3)". The record is from RNAcentral. Lineage: Eukaryota; Metazoa; Chordata; Mammalia; Primates; Cheirogaleidae.